GAGUGAACGCUGGCGGUAGGCCUAACACAUGCAAGUCGAACGGCAGCACAGUAAGAGCUUGCUCUUACGGGUGGCGAGUGGCGGACGGGUGAGGAAUACAUCGGAAUCUACUUUUUCGUGGGGGAUAACGUAGGGAAACUUACGCUAAUACCGCAUACGACCUACGGGUGAAAGCAGGGGAUCUUCGGACCUUGCGCGAUUGAAUGAGCCGAUGUCGGAUUAGCUAGUUGGCGGGGUAAAGGCCCACCAAGGCGACGAUCCGUAGCUGGUCUGAGAGGAUGAUCAGCCACACUGGAACUGAGACACGGUCCAGACUCCUACGGGAGGCAGCAGUGGGGAAUAUUGGACAAAGGGCGCAAGCCUGAUCCAGCCAUACCGCGUGGGUGAAGAAGGCCUUCGGGUUGUAAAGCCCUUUUGUUGGGAAAGAAAAGCGGCAGGUUAAUACCCCGCUGUUCUGACGGUACCCAAAGAAUAAGCACCGGCUAACUUCGUG
This 493-nucleotide ribosomal RNA is filed under the name uncultured bacterium. Its description in RNAcentral is "partial 16S ribosomal RNA". It matches the Rfam family "Bacterial small subunit ribosomal RNA", at positions 27 to 507 of the family's 1533-position model. The record is from RNAcentral.